This 984-nucleotide ribosomal RNA is filed under the name uncultured bacterium. RNAcentral describes it as "bacterial SSU rRNA". It matches the Rfam family "Bacterial small subunit ribosomal RNA", at positions 10 to 985 of the family's 1533-position model. The record is from RNAcentral.
AGUUUGAUCCUGGCUCAGAUUGAACGCUGGCGGCAUGCUUUACACAUGCAAGUCGAACGGCAGCACGAAAGAGCUUGCUCUUUUGGUGGCGAGUGGCGAACGGGUGAGUAAUGCAUCGGAACGUACCGAGUAAUGGGGGAUAACUAUCCGAAAGGAUAGCUAAUACCGCAUACGCUUUGAGAAGGAAAGUGGGGGCUCUUCGGACCUCACGUUAUUCGAGCGGCCGAUGUCUGAUUAGCUAGUUGGUGGGGUAAAGGCCUACCAAGGCGACGAUCAGUAGCGGGUCUGAGAGGAUGAUCCGCCACACUGGGACUGAGACACGGCCCAGACUCCUACGGGAGGCAGCAGUGGGGAAUUUUGGACAAUGGGCGCAAGCCUGAUCCAGCCAUGCCGCGUGUCUGAAGAAGGCCUUCGGGUUGUAAAGGACUUUUGUUAGGGAAGAAAAGGAUAGUGUUAAUACCAUUAUCUGCUGACGGUACCUAAAGAAUAAGCACCGGCUAACUACGUGCCAGCAGCCGCGGUAAUACGUAGGGUGUGAGCGUUAAUCGGAAUUACUGGGCGUAAAGCGAGCGCAGACGGUUUAUUAAGCAAGAUGUGAAAUCCCCGAGCUUAACUUGGGAACUGCGUUUUGAACUGGUAAGCUAGAGUAUGUCAGAGGGGGGUAGAAUUCCACGUGUAGCAGUGAAAUGCGUAGAGAUGUGGAGGAAUACCGAUGGCGAAGGCAGCCCCCUGGGAUAAUACUGACGUUCAUGCUCGAAAGCGUGGGUAGCAAACAGGAUUAGAUACCCUGGUAGUCCACGCCCUAAACGAUGUCAAUUAGCUGUUGGGCAACAUGAUUGCUUAGUAGCGUAGCUAACGCGUGAAAUUGACCGCCUGGGGAGUACGGUCGCAAGAUUAAAACUCAAAGGAAUUGACGGGGACCCGCACAAGCGGUGGAUGAUGUGGAUAAUUCGAUGCAACGCGAAGAACCUACCUGGUCUUGAC